AUUGAACGCUGGCGGAAUGCUUUACACAUGCAAGUCGAGCGGCAGCGCGGGGGCAACCCUGGCGGCGAGCGGCGAACGGGUGAGUAACAUAUCGGAACGUACCCAGUCGUGGGGGAUAACUAUCCGAAAGGAUAGCUAAUACCGCAUACGUCCUGAGGGAGAAAGCGGGGGAUCGCAAGACCUCGCGCGAUUGGAGCGGCCGAUAUCGGAUUAGCUAGUUGGUGGGGUAAAGGCUCACCAAGGCGACGAUCCGUAGCGGGUCUGAGAGGACGACCCGCCACACUGGAACUGAGACACGGUCCAGACUCCUACGGGAGGCAGCAGUGGGGAAUUUUGGACAAUGGGGGGCAACCCUGAUCCAGCCAUUCCGCGUGAGUGAAGAAGGCCUCGG
RNAcentral lists this ribosomal RNA (391 nucleotides) under uncultured bacterium. RNAcentral's name for it is "bacterial SSU rRNA". It matches the Rfam family "Bacterial small subunit ribosomal RNA", at positions 29 to 420 of the family's 1533-position model. The record is from RNAcentral.